Molecule: long non-coding RNA, 646 nt
Filed under: Olea europaea subsp. europaea
Lineage: Eukaryota; Viridiplantae; Streptophyta; Magnoliopsida; Lamiales; Oleaceae
Source: RNAcentral
CUUUCAACAAAAAGAUAAGUUUCAAAUAUAAAUAUUAAAUAGUAAAUAAAUAGAUUUUUUUGGAGAUUUUCUUUGUUCAAUACUUCAAGUAGCUGUUUUCAAUUUAAAAUUGAUGAAAGUGAAGAAAUCAAUAUUUAAGUUUUAACUUAGAAGAAUUGUAAAAAAAAAAAAAAAUUAAAAAAAAUUAAAAAGAUAAUUAUGCUCGUCUAGACGCGCAUAACCGCGCUUAGACAUAUAUUAGCGGUCAAACAAUUACUGUUGAUCGCUAAAUAAAGCGUCAAGCCGCUUAGUUCAAUGUUUCUGCCAAGCAUCGCUCAUUGACGACGUCAAUGCACGCUUUUUAGAACAAUGAAUAAAAUAAUUAUUUGAAGAACGUCAAAUUAUGAAAUACACAUCGCCGUGAAAUAGAGCACAGAUGACUCAGUUGUAAAAUUAUGAAAUUUUUCUUUCCUUUUUUUAUGCUAUUUAUUGUUACCAAAAAUUAUAGUCGAGAUCUUAAUUGCAAGCAGAGGGAGGAGAACUAAUAUAAAUUUGGGAUGUUUGCUUCCAGUACAUGAAAUAAAGGCUGCAAUACAUGUAUUAAUGAAUGUAAACUAUAAAUUGUGAAUAAUGUCAAAUAAUGAAUGAAACAUACUAUAGGUACAAU